UCUCUGAUAGUAUAUCGGUUAGUACACGCGCCUGUCAUGGCGUUAUAUUCCUCGUGCGCGCGAAAGCUGGGUUCGACUCCCAGUCAGAGAG
Non-coding RNA from Pterulicium gracile, 91 nucleotides. Lineage: Eukaryota; Fungi; Basidiomycota; Agaricomycetes; Agaricales; Pterulaceae. The record is from the annotation of a GenBank genome assembly.